RNAcentral lists this ribosomal RNA (465 nucleotides) under uncultured bacterium. Its description in RNAcentral is "partial 16S ribosomal RNA". It matches the Rfam family "Bacterial small subunit ribosomal RNA", at positions 28 to 507 of the family's 1533-position model. The record is from RNAcentral.
GACGAACGCUGGCGGCGUGCUUAACACAUGCAAGUCGAACGGAAAGGCCCUGCUUGCAGGGUACUCGAGUGGCGAACGGGUGAGUAACACGUGGGUGAUCUGCCCUGCACUUCGGGAUAAGCCUGGGAAACUGGGUCUAAUACCGGAUAGGAGCCAUUUUUAGUGUGAUGGUUGGAAAGUUUUUUCGGUUUAGGAUGAGCUCGCGGCCUAUCAGCUUGUUGGUGGGGUAAUGGCCUACCAAGGCGGCGGCGGGUAGCCGGCCUGAGAGGGUGGACGGCCACACUGGGACCGAGGGACGGCCCAGACUGCGAAGGGAGGGAGCAGGGCGGAAUAUUGACCGAUGGGCGCCAGGCUGAUGAAGCGACGCCGCGUGGCGGAUGACGGCCUUAGGGUUGUAAACUCAUUUUGUAAGUGACGAAGCUUUUUGUGACGGUACCUAGACAAGAAGCACCGGCUAACUACGUG